RNAcentral lists this ribosomal RNA (253 nucleotides) under uncultured bacterium. RNAcentral describes it as "partial 16S ribosomal RNA". It matches the Rfam family "Bacterial small subunit ribosomal RNA", at positions 524 to 776 of the family's 1533-position model. The record is from RNAcentral.
UACGUAGGGUGCAAGCGUUAAUCGGACUUACUGGGCGUAAAGCGUGCGCAGGCGGUGAUGUAAGACAGGUGUGAAAUCCCCGGGCUUAACCUGGGAACUGCAUUUGUGACUGCAUCGCUGGAGUGCGGCAGAGGGGGAUGGAAUUCCGCGUGUAGCAGUGAAAUGCGUAGAUAUGCGGAGGAACACCGAUGGCGAAGGCAAUCCCCUGGGCCUGCACUGACGCUCAUGCACGAAAGCGUGGGGAGCAAACAGG